RNAcentral lists this non-coding RNA (720 nucleotides) under Drosophila sechellia. RNAcentral describes it as "Eukaryotic large subunit ribosomal RNA". It matches the Rfam family "Eukaryotic large subunit ribosomal RNA", at positions 1 to 626 of the family's 3401-position model. The record is from Rfam by way of RNAcentral. Lineage: Eukaryota; Metazoa; Arthropoda; Insecta; Diptera; Drosophilidae.
CAACCUCAACUCAUAUGGGACUACCCCCUGAAUUUAAGCAUAUUAAUUAGGGGAGGAAAAGAAACUAACAAGGAUUUUCUUAGUAGCGGCGAGCGAAAAGAAAACAGUUCAGCACUAAGUCACUUUGUCUAUAUGGCAAAUGUGAGAUGCAGUGUAUGGAGCGUCAAUAUUCUAGUAUGAGAAAUUAAUGAUUUAAGUCCUUCUUAAAUGAGGCCAUUUACCCAUAGAGGGUGCCAGGCCCGUAUAACGUUAAUGAUUGCUAGAUGAUGUUUCCAAAGAGUCGUGUUGCUUGAUAGUGCAGCACUAAGUGGGUGGUAAACUCCAUCUAAAACUAAAUAUAACCAUGAGACCGAUAGUAAACAAGUACCGUGAGGGAAAGUUGAAAAGAACUCUGAAUAGAGAGUUAAACAGUACGUGAAACUGCUUAGAGGUUAAGCCCGAUGAACCUGAAUAUCCGUUAUGGAAAAUUCAUCAUUAAAAUUGUAAUAUUUAAAUAAUAUUAUUAAGAAUAAUGUGCAUUUUUUCCAUAUAAGGACAUUGUAAUCUAUUAGCAUAUCCCAAAUUUAUCAUAAAAUAUAACUUAUAGUUUAUUCCAAUUAAAUUGCUUGCAUUUUAACACAGAAUAAAUGUUAUUAAUUUGAUAAAGUGCUGAUAGAUUUAUAUUAUUACAGAGCGUUAAUUUUUCGGAUUAUAUAAUGGCAUAAUUAUCAUUGAUUUUUG